GUGGAUUAGAUACCCCGGUAGUCCACCCCGUAAACGUUGGGAACUAGUUGUGGGGUCCAUUCCACGGAUUCCGUGACGCAGCUAACGCAUUAAGUUCCCCGCCUGGGGAGUACGGCCGCAAGGCUAAAACUCAAAGGAAUUGACGGGGACCCGCACAAGCGGCGGAGCAUGCGGAUUAAUUCGAUGCAACGCGAAGAACCUUACCAAGGCUUGACAUAUACGAGAACGCUGCAGAAAUGUAGAACUCUUUGGACACUCGUAAACAGGUGGUGCAUGGCUGUCGACAGCU
This 289-nucleotide ribosomal RNA is filed under the name uncultured bacterium. Its description in RNAcentral is "partial 16S ribosomal RNA". It matches the Rfam family "Bacterial small subunit ribosomal RNA", at positions 773 to 1060 of the family's 1533-position model. The record is from RNAcentral.